UUUUUUAAUUCCAGAUGAAUGCAUUUCAGUAAUUUGGCCAUGCGCAGCUAGAUACCUUCCAAGUAACCAUGGAUCAUUUUCCAGAUACUUAUGAAUUUCCAUCUUCCUCUUUAAUGAGGUUUCGCACCAAUUUAUCGAUGGAACACAAAUUUAGAGCAGCAAAUGCUUGGAAUGGUGUAAUAUAAGUGAGCAAUUCUCUUGCAGGAAUGAAGGCGAGGAUCGUUUUGGGGAAGGUUUAUAAUUACAUUCGGUAUGAUUUGAAGCAAAUUGCAUUUCCUUCGUCGUUGCCAGAUCCUCCGCAGCUUCGAAAGCCUACAUAGCAUGAACGAUUAUUGCUGUGGCUGCAAGAAGAGGAAUGGAGACAUUAAAACCAACUUUGCAGCGGGUUUAUAUGACUAGAGCUUCUGCAUAUAGAGAAGCAAUUUUAUAGAUGGGUAUCAAGAAGGUAUUCAGCAAGUCAUGGAGAAGAAGAAAGUUUCUGAUUCUCAAUCGGGAAGCGAUAAAAUCAAAUAUAAAUUUCUGAUCCUAUUUAUGCUUCAUGUUUAAAGGAUUGGGCAGUUCAGUUUGCAGUUGUAAAAAUUGUUUGAGUUGAGAUAAAAUUUUAUCUCCGGAGGUGCUAUUUGAUAUAUGUACAGUUUUGAGAAUCUCAUAAUAUAAACUACAAACACACAGUCAUUAGAAGGAUGGCAAUUGUCAGUUAUUUUAAUUUGUAAGGUCUGGUUUACAAUUGAUCUCAAGUUGGAUAAGUUUUCCUCAACGCUUCAGGUGUGAAUUGUACAUUGCAGCCGGCCCCUACAUUCACAUUAAGACCACUCAAGCUUUUUAAUCAUGUCAUGAGGUAUCUGCAUGGUGGAUUGAAUGUCCGGUACAACCAUAACUCUAUGAUUUGACAAGAAAACGUUGGACGCUGAUUUUGCAAAUUGAGAAAGAAAUGUAGUGGCAUAGUUAGGUCAUAAGAUGCUGUGAAGAUGCUCAAAGUACACUUUAUUGUGGUUAGAUGGAAGGCUGAAAAUGACUGGCGUUACAGGGAUUGAAGGGCCCAUUUAGAAUUGGGUCGAGCUUCCAAUGUUCGAGCUACCAUCUGACUUUUCCAGCGGAGCCGGAAUUGUUGAAAACUAAUGAGUGUAUAAUUUGAAGAGUUUGUUCAAGAAGUAUGAUAGAUCCUGAUAAAGAAUCGAGCGACUCUUAUCUUUAUCAACUAAUGAUUGUUUGGCGUCGUAGUUUCACAGAAACUUAUGCAGGCAUUGAAACCAAUUACCAUCGGUGAGUACCGAUAUCGACUAAUUUUGGUGUUGUUGCUUGUUUCUGCUUGAGUCACGAAAGUAUUUUUAAUGCACUAUUGGGUGAAGUUUGCUGGGUCAGAAAUAUUCAAAAGCAAAUCAACUGAUUGAUGAAAAGAUAAGUGGAAUGAACCGUGGACGAAUUCUCUCUUGCUGUUACUAUAUAUGUACUGUACUUAGUCAUGCAUAAUUGAAUUAUGCUUGCCAAACAUAUCCCUUAGUAGGAGUCCUUUCAUUCCUUCGAUUAGCAAUUUCUUCGGUGCCAAUGAUAGCUUGCACACAUAUCUGGGGACCCCCUACUUUCAAAGCCACUGAUGAAGAUUGGAAAAUCAUCAACCAGGAAGGUCAAUGGUUAUCUCUCCUGUCUGCACAUUUAUGGGCCCCGCAAGCAAGAUUUCCUAACUCACCUUUUCAUCAUUCCCACAGAAAAGGCAUGUUCAUCAAACAAAGUUCAAUUUGUAGGAAUUGAAUACAGGAAUAGGCAUGGCAUGAAAUUAACAACCUCUUGAGCAGCAGUUCAGAUCAGGCGGAUUCACAUAAAAAAAUGGUUGAAAGGACACGACAAUUGAGAGGCAAAUCUUAAUAAUAAAUAAGGUAAGAAACAAAGGUUAGAUUUUGCUAGAACUUAUAAAAGAGUAAUAGUAGCUGUUUCCGAUCCAUCCAAUCCCACCUACUCAAAUAAAGUGGCACUGGCACUGGCACAGCUUCUUCCCCCCUUUUCCUCCGCUCAUAUUUUGAGUCUCUCUAAAAAAAAUCUUGAGCCAGAAUGUCAAAUAGAUUCUUCAUUCCUGGCCUUCAACGACCCUAGUUUCCAAUUUACAUGUAUGACGUAAGCCCUAGGUAGCUUUCUUCUUCCUGGACCCCACUUUUCCUCUCUCCUCAUCCCCCCCACCCCACCCCUGACCUUGGAAAGUCGGCCAGAAAACCUGGGAUUUAUUUCUCUAUCUAUUUUCCCAUAUUUUAUUUAGUGGGGAUGACUCUUCCCAAGUGUAGUGGGAAAAAGUGUGUUUUGCAUUACAGGGACGUCACAUCCACACAUCUCUAUACUUCAUAUUUCGCCUGCUUGAUAUCUUGUGGGAAAGUGGAAUCCUGUUACAACCUCAUCUUAGAACUCCCAUAAAAUGACACACCCGUUACAGUAAAAUAUAAAUAUGUGUGUUUGUGUAGAUAAUCAAGCAGAUUUUCCUGUGAUUUGUUAGUUUCGAGAGAGAGAGAGAGGUGUUGUAGAAAUAAAAACUGGAAGGGGUUGGUUGGUCCAUAGUGUGUAAUGCUCUGCUAAGAAGAGUUGGCUUUGAACUUUUUGUGCAUAUGAUUUCUGUAAGUGAAGAAAGGAAGAGUGUGAUAUCAUUUGUGCAGAGUUUUGGUCCGAUAUCAUUUCUCUGAUGCUUCUGUCCAUGUACGAUGUUCCCCUUACAAUCUGGAAACCUACCAUUUCCUCUCUCUUCCCAUUUCCUUUCUCCUUUUCUUCUUCAACUCUCUCUCUAAAAAAAAAGAACUAAAUUUGUAGCAUCUUCUUAUUCAUUGAUUUGGAUUGCUACAAUGUUUGAGGCCUAAAUCAUCUUUUGUGGGAUUCCAAACUUUUAUAUUCAUUUUAUUUUAGCCAAUAUGUGACCCACAUGUUAUAUUUCUUUUCAUUUAGUUAUAUUUUUGUCCUUAAAAUGGGUAAGCAUAUGACAUUGAAUCAUAUCAUUAAAAUGAGCAAUCU
Molecule: long non-coding RNA, 2985 nt
Organism: Cucurbita maxima (winter squash)
Lineage: Eukaryota; Viridiplantae; Streptophyta; Magnoliopsida; Cucurbitales; Cucurbitaceae
Exons: 6
Source: RefSeq, a predicted model, not a curated record